RNAcentral lists this long non-coding RNA (4800 nucleotides) under Canis lupus familiaris (dog). RNAcentral's name for it is "lncRNA (ENSCAFG00030019048.1)". Lineage: Eukaryota; Metazoa; Chordata; Mammalia; Carnivora; Canidae. The record is from RNAcentral.
AGACAUGAUGGUGGUCAAGUGUGAAUUAACAAUAUCUACAUGAAAUUCUUUUUCUCCCUUGCUUCACUGCCAGUGAGAUAAAACCUUCGAGGUUCACGAGGUUCUAAGAGGCAUCUAACCACACACACAAACACAGACACAAACUCGCCCCCAGACGGAUGGCCAUGGAAGGAUCUGAUGGUAUGAAUGGCCGCCAAGAUCAAUACCAGGAGAACUGCUGCCAUCCACAUCCACAGACGCAGGUUUGAAUCAAUGGGAACUUCGGAAAUCAUUGCAGACCACUAACAUCAUUGGUGUGACAGACUUCUGAUCACGAGGUGGUCCAAGGAGGAAAGAAAGAAAUUAACAGACAAAAUUCAGAUGAGAACCAGUCUUUUCCUCCUGGAGUCCAGAGAGUUACACAGGUACCCGUGGUUGAAUGCGGCCAGAAGCCGAAGCCGAAGCCAAAGAAUGCGGCCAGGAUCAUCCGAAGCAGGUGAUCCUCCUUCGGAUGCAUCAUUGAGUCAACAGCAGCCUAACCGUACAUCGCAUGCCUGUGUCACUCACCUUACUUCUUAUCACGGGGACAUUCCGUCACCCACACCAUCACCACAAGAAGAAGGGUGAGCUCAGUACAAGAAGAUAUUUUGAGAGAGGGAGACUGAGAGCGCAUUCCCGUUACUUUUAUUAUAAUAUAUUGUUAUAAGUAUUCUAUUCUUUAUUAGUUACUGCUGCUAAUCUCUCCCUGUGCCUAAUGUAUAAGCGUCACUUUGUCACAGGUGGGUAUGCAUAGGUACAAAUAAAGCAUAUGUUUGGUACUAUGUGUGAUUCAGGCACCUGCUGGGAGUCUUGGAAUGGUCCCUGCAGGUGAAGGGGCCUCUUGCUAAUGGUGAAGUCUCUUCUAAAGAGAAAUCUCAGACUAUUAGAUCAAUAUUUUAUUCUAAUGCUGAUCAACCGUCUCUAUAAAUGUCAUCUCUCCCCCACCUUCCAAAUAAAACAAGAUAAUGUUUUCCUACAAAAGAAUUGAGAAUAGGCCUGCCUAUUUUUGCUCCAGGGUAAUGGAAUAUAUUUAUUGAUGCAGAAUAAAUGACAUGAGUCAGAGUUCACUGUGGAGACUCCCAUAGCUCUUACUAAUCUUAUAAAGAUGAAGUGUGCUGGGCGUCUCAAUAAAUGAGAGCCAUCCAGUUCUUAAGAGCAUAUUCAAUUCAUAAUUUUAACCCACCAUCCCUGCAUUUUUCAGGGUCAAUAGCAAAGUGUGAUAUCCACCACUCUAUUUGGUCUUUAGCAAUCUCAUUUUUGUGGAUCUGAAUCUCAUCAGGGAAAAUGAACUCACGGAUAAAUCUGCAUAAUUACACAUACUGUCUGCUUGCAGCAAAAUAUCUAGCUGCUCCAAUUUCUCCUUCAUCCAUUGUUAUAGGGUCCAGGAAAAACACAAUGCAAAUUCCAUAGACAAGAGAAUGCUCGCCUCUAGAGUUCCAGAGAGAAUGUGGCUCGUGACAUUCAAGAUUUGAUUUGAGACUUCUUUCCCUCAUGUACAUUCUGAGCAAAUAAUACAGCAAUGUUAUUCCCGGGAACAAAUGCAAAUUCAUCACUGUUCAUGGCAAGAUACAGAGCACUGCAUAAAUGGCACAAGUUUGUCCAAUAGUUUUUACUUAAAUAUUAUGGGACUGAUGCCUACAAACAAUUUUUGAAAGCUUUUUUUAUUGAGCAAUAACAGAACUUCAGAAAGUAUAUGUACUUUCAGAAGUGCAGAGCUUGAUGAAUUAUUACAAAGCAAACACACAUAUGCAGCCUCCACCAGGGUCAAUAAAUAAAACAUCAGGGAUGUCCCCAGGACCCAGAUCUCUUGUGGUUUGCCUUUCUGAUCACCUACCCAUCCAUCUUAGCUUCUCCAGGUCCCAUGUCCUAACACCACAGGGCAGAUAGAAUUGUCACAGUAAGUAUAUUUGGUUGCCCUGCUGCUUUCAUUCUGAACUCACUUGGUUGGAGAGAGUCACCUAUCUUUGGUGUUUAUCAGCCAUGCAUUCAUUCCUGUUUUAUACUCAAUACACUUUGUCUUUGGCAUAUUUGGUACAAAUAUACCAAAGCUUAUUUUUGCCCAUUGUACUGAGCAUGUAGGUUGUAUCUGAUUUGGGGCUGUCUUGAUAAUGCUGCUAGUAAUACUUUUGUCCAUGCAUUUUGGUGCACUUGUAUAAUUCCUGGAUCGGAGGGUGUAAAUGUGUUCCAUUUUAGUAGAUAAUGACCAAUACUUUUCCACAGAGGUUAGACAGGUUUUCAUUCCCAUCAGAAGUGUGUGAGAAUUCCAGUAAGUCGAAAUCCUCACUGAUACUAGACAUUUGUCAGGCUUUUAAAUUUAUUAGCCAUCUGUAUGUAAGUUAUCUCGUUGUGGUUUUAAUUUGUACUUCUCUGGUGAAGGAGGUUGGAAAUAUUUUGAUAUAGUUAUUGGUUGUGGGUAUCAACCACCACUACACACUCCCUGAUAUUUAAAGGUGUCUUUUCAAGAAUCUUGCCAUUUUUCUAAUAGGUAUGAAUGUCAUUAGCUUAUUGAUUUGCAGAAUUCUUGUAUGUCCUGGAUACAAGCCUUUUGUUGGUUUUAUAUGUGCUAAUAUUUUCUCUCAUUCUAUGGUUUGUCUUUCUGUGUUCUUGAUAUAGUCUUUUGAUGAACAGAAAUUCCCAGUUUUAAUGUAGUCAAAUGAAUGAAUGUUUGAUUUUGUGUCUGUUGCUUUUGUGUUUGGUUUAAGAGAUCUUUGUUUACACAAACAGUAUGCUUUCUUAUAGGAAUCCCGUGACUUACCUUUGCAUAUAGCUCACCAAUUCACAUGAAACUGAUUUUUGUGUAUGGUGUGAGAUAAUAGUCAUCAUCAUUAUUUUUUUUCCUGGGUAAUAUCUGAUGAACCCAGCACCAAUUCAUUAAAAAGGGACCCUUUCCCCAACACAUUGCAGGGCCACCUGUGACAUAAGUCAGGUGUCCAUACAGCCAUGUCUUGGGGAGUUCUAUUCUGUUCCUUUGGUUGAUUUUUUUUCUAUCUCUGCUCCAACAGGAUAUUGAUAAAAUAACAAGGCAUUUUAUUCUAUCUGAUAGAGUAAUUUCUUUAAAUCCACCUGUUUUCUUAAAGAUUCUCUUGAAUAUUCCUGGCCGUUUACGUUUUCAACAUCAAUUUUAGAAUCUGCUGGUCAAAUAUCUUUUGAGAGUUUUAUCAGAGUUACACUGAAACUAUACUAACACCUUUGUAACAUUAAAACUUCAAUUCAUGGAGGUGCCUGGCUGGCUCAUCAGUGGAACAUGUGACUCUUGAUCUCAGGGGCAUGAGUUUGAGCACUACGUUGGGUAUAAAGAUUAUUUAAAAAUAAAAUAAAAAAAAAAGACUUCAGUUCAUGAACUAUGGUAUUUCCCAUUUUGCAUAUCUUUAAUUUACCCAAAUGCUGCUUUGUCCUUUAUACUGUUGAAGUUGAAUAUCUUUCACUAGAUUUAGCCUUCAUUAUUGUAUCUUUGGUUUCAUUUUUUUUUUAAGAUUUAUUUAUUUAUUUAUUUAUUUAUUUGAGACACACAGAGAGACAGAGACACAGGCAGAGGGAGGAGCAGGCUCCAUGCAGGGAGUCCAAAGUGGGACUCAAUCCAGGGUCUCCAGGAUCACGCCCUGGGCUGAAGGCGGCGCUAAACCACUGAAACACCCGGGGCUGCCCUUUGUUGGUUUUAAAAUUUUUUUUUUCAAUUUUUAUUUAUUUAUUUAUGAUAGUCACAGAGAGAGAGAGAGAGGCAGAGACACAGGCCGAGGGAGAAGCAGGCUCCAUGCACCGGGAGCCUGACGUGGGAUUCGAUCCCGGGUCUCCAGGAUCGCGCCCUGGGCCAAAGGCAGGCGCCAAACCGCUGCGCCACCCAGGGAUCCCUUGUUUGGUUUUAAAUGGCAACAUUAUUUAAUUUCAUUUUCUCAGUCUGUUACUGUGAUACAAACACAUAAUUGAUUUUUUAUAUUGAUCUCUAUGCAAGUAACCUUACUACAUUUACUUAUUAAUUUAAAAAAUUAUCUGUAUAUUCUUUUAGGUUUUCUGCAUAUAUAAUCAUGCCAUCUACAGACAAUGACAGCUUUCCUUCCUAAUCCUCAAUUAUUUCAUUUCUUUCCAUUUACUUAUCAGAGUGGCUAGGAAUUCCACACAAUGUUUAAUAGACGUGGUGAUAUGGAAGAUCUUUGUCUCACCUCUAGACUUAGAUAGCUUUCAAUAUUUUGCCAUUAGAUAUGAUAUUUGCUGUACGUUAUGUUUUGUGGAUAUUCUAUCAGAGGUCAACAUGUUUUCCUUCUAUUAAUGGUUUUACAUGUUUACUUUUAACAUUAUAGACAAUAGAAUUUUGUCAGAUGCUUUUUCUGCAUUUACUAAGAUAAUUACAGUGUCUUUGUGCUCAUGACUUUGUAUCUUUUUUCCAUUUAAUAUUUCAGAAUACAUUUUAUACAUAUUAUAAACUAUCCAUAAACAUUUUAUUUUUACAUACAUCUUUACAUUGAAAUAUUUUUAUGAAAAUAUGAUAUCUUCCUUUUUCUCAUCAUUCCAGCCCCAGAGGCAUUCACAUCCCAUCCUUUUGUGCAGAACCCUCCUGAUUUUUAUUUAUAGGAGUUCAAUUUUAAAGAGAAUUAAUAAAUAUAAUCUACUUUUGUCUUAGCAUAUUUCUCCUUGAGCAUAUCACUCUAGCUAAAUCUAGAUUCAAUCACCUGAUUUAAAAAAAACAUUAUUUUUACUUUCUGAUUUUAUCCAUAUUUAGUUAAAAGAAAAAUUAUAUAACUCUCCAACAACAACAACAAAAAAAAACAAGUGAGCCCUUAAACAAAC